This is a long non-coding RNA of Nicrophorus vespilloides, 487 nucleotides long. RefSeq lists it as uncharacterized. Lineage: Eukaryota; Metazoa; Arthropoda; Insecta; Coleoptera; Silphidae. The transcript has 3 exons. The record is from RefSeq and is a predicted model, not a curated record.
AGGGAAACCUGGAUGACACAGAAACUACAUAACAUUCUAACCUAAAAAAAAAGGGCAUCAGUCUGUCAGUAAUCCAGCCCUUAUUGCAGGCAAACCCACCUCCAAAAAUAGAUCAAGCUAUUUACGGAUAUUAGAAUAAUUACAAUAAACGUAACAGUCGUUGUCGGGAUGCAUUUGUUAAUAAGAAAAGAUGUGUUUAAGAUUACCCUCGGCCCUAAUCGGGGGUGUGAAGUACACGGCUUACUAAAAAAUAAAAAGAUUAAUUGAGUUUUGUUGCUCUCCAAUUGGUUUGUAAGAUUAGCGAUUUUUUUAAAAUUUAUUCUUUUAAAUAAAAUUGAUGAAUUCCGUAUCGUGAUGUGAUUUUAUCAGGUGCUUCCCAAACUGAGGGAGCUUCAGUGCAUACGUCAAAUUAAUGGCUAACCGAAGAAAGUUUGCUGCACUGCACAUCGCAAGUUCCUUGAUCUUCAAAAUCUAAACAGAUUUCCAU